RNAcentral lists this long non-coding RNA (1237 nucleotides) under Fukomys damarensis (Damara mole-rat). Its description in RNAcentral is "lncRNA (ENSFDAG00000033433.1)". The record is from RNAcentral. Lineage: Eukaryota; Metazoa; Chordata; Mammalia; Rodentia; Bathyergidae.
GUCUUUUCCAGUCCAUUCCACUGUCAGAAAUGUACUUCUAAGUAGUUCUGACCAACUAUAAUAUAGCAUUUUUCAAUGAGACUGUAAAGAACUGGUUGAAAACUCUGUUACAGAUCUCUCUUCUUUCCUUGUCCACCCCUACCAGUUCAAGAAGAAAAACAAAGGCAGUUAUAAUUGUCUAAGUAAUACUUUGUAUGGCAUUUUUUCUCUUGAAACCUCUAAAUCCUUCCACUGAGGUCAUGGAAAAAGUGUUUUAUAAAGAAAUUGAAAGUGUUUGAUUUAAUAUCCUUUAAAUGCAUUUUAGAAUGUUAUUUUGCCAUAUUAACUACUUUCUUAACAUUGCUUUGUGACAGUUCAUUGUGUUCUUAACAUCUAGUUAUAUAAUCUAAUACUUUUUUUGAAAAAAAUUCUGAAAAAUGAUAAACACAUCAUUUAGUUUGCACCAUUUAAAUGGUGUUGGUUGAAAUAAAUGUAAAUAUUACCUGUUUAUCCAUAGAAUUAGUUCUCUGACAUAUUGUGGACUAUAACACAACCUCUCAUUAGAUCACGAUACUAUUUUCAGAGUGAUUAUUCACAGAAUUACUCAUUGUAAUGCAAAAGCAUUACAACAAAACCGAGAAACUAGGAUUCAAACUAUUUUUCUAAAAUAGUCUUUAUAUCACUUUUUAAAAGCUUAUGUGUAUCAAAAUAUGUUCAUAAUUUAGGGAAAAUGAAGAAUACCAAAGUAUCUUCUUGUUUCCUGAAAGGAGGGCUGGAAUCACAAGACUGAUAACAAACACUGUUUCCCAAGAGACAGUUGGGUUGCUUUCACUUUCAAAAACAGAGGAAGAAGUGAGAGAAGGCUUUGCUGAGUAACUUGAUCAUUCUGAAGGUGGAAACCAACAUCCCGAGCUCCUUCUGCCUGUGCCCCAGGGCCAAGAUUCUCAGUUCAUCCUCUGCCUACCAACCAAGCCUAGGAGAAGUCCCUGUUCUGUCCCUUCAUCAUCCGACCCCUAUUCCCCAUGGGGUAAAGACUAGAGAAAUUCCUUGUAUUCCCUUGCCUUUAAUUUUGUUAUGCCCUAAAGCUGAGAACCAUUUGUUUGGUAAUUUACUGAUUCACAGACAGAAUUACCAGAGAAAUGUGUCCUGUUUUCUCUAUAAUGACUGAACAUGCAAUUAUAAUAAAUAUUUACUCUUACACCAAGGAAAUCUUUCUUGAAAAUAAGCUAUUUGCGUUUAUAAAUAUUAUGUAUUCUUU